Molecule: ribosomal RNA, 254 nt
Filed under: uncultured bacterium
Lineage: Bacteria
Description: partial 16S ribosomal RNA
Rfam family: Bacterial small subunit ribosomal RNA
Source: RNAcentral
UACGUAGGGUGCAAGCGUUUGUCCGGAAUUAUUGGGCGUAAAGAGCUCGUAGGCGGUCUGUCGCGUCUGCUGUGAAAACUCGGGGCUUAACCCCGGGCCUGCAGUGGGUACGGGCAGACUAGAGUGCGGUAGGGGAGACUGGAAUUCCUGGUGUAGCGGUGGAAUGCGCAGAUAUCAGGAGGAACACCGGUGGCGAAGGCGGGUCUCUGGGCAGUAACUGACGUGAGGAGCGAAAGCGUGGGGGAGCGAACAGG